Formica exsecta is the source of this 1017-nucleotide long non-coding RNA. RefSeq lists it as uncharacterized. The transcript is spliced from 3 exons. The record is from RefSeq and is a predicted model, not a curated record. Lineage: Eukaryota; Metazoa; Arthropoda; Insecta; Hymenoptera; Formicidae.
CUUCUCUUAUUGCGAACAUAUGAGGAGAUGGAAGAGAAAUUUAAUAAUGGAAAAUUGUCACAUAAAAAAUGUUGGGAGCUAUUUGCUCAAGUAUUAAAAGAUAAGGGAUACAAUGUAACAGGGCCACAAUGUGCCUCAAAGUUCAGAGGUUUAAAAAACAUACAAAUCAAUAAAGGAUCACAAUUCAAAAUCAGGAAACGAUCGACGAACAUGGCAGUAUUUUGAGAUUAUGGAUAACAUGUUUUCAAAAAAAGCCUGGUGUAAACCUACAGCACUUGCUUCGUCCACUGGUCUAUGAAUUAAAAAUACAAAUUCAGAAGAAUCUUCAUCUUCGUCACAGUUUCCAUAUGAUUCUGAUGCUGAAAAGGAAAAUGAUCUGCCUAAAAAGAGAACAAAACCCACAAAAACAUCUGUAAACGAACUUCUGCAACAAAGAUUAGAGCAAAAAGAAGAGCACGAUCGUAAAAGACAGAAACUUCACGACGAAAGAAUGCUUAUAGAAACAAAGUUGCUUGACACUCUUACACAAUUUUUAAAUAAGGUUGAAUAAUGUCAAUGGCAUAAAGAUGUCUUUAUUUGACAUAGUUUAUUUUAAAUUUAUUUUAAAUUCAUACUUUAUUUUUUCUUAUAAGAUUUUGAAGAUAGUACAAAAUAUGAGUGAUAUAUUUGUUAACUAUACUGUGAAAGAUUUUUAUUUCAGUUAUUUUUCGUACAUUGCUUUAUUUUUAUGUUAUGUAAAAUACAUAUAGGUAUUAAAAUUAUAUGAACAAUAUACAGGGUGUUCCAUUUUAAAGGAGCCAGUCAAAUAUCUCGAAAAAUAUGGAAGAUACGGAAAAACGUUUCAGACAAAAGUUGUUUGGUUCGAAGGAAGACAUAAGAUGGUGCCAUUGAUGUGACCUUGGAUUGUCAUUUGAAGGUCACAUGAAGGUCACAUUCAAUUUCUUAAAUGAAAACCUCUAUUUUUUAUUGCAUAUUCUUAUAGCUUAUGCCAAGAGCUUUCCAAAACACUAUAAUAAA